UUGGUUUGCAUAGGUGACCACUUUUGGC
This 28-nucleotide non-coding RNA is filed under the name Mus musculus (house mouse). The record is from RNAcentral. Lineage: Eukaryota; Metazoa; Chordata; Mammalia; Rodentia; Muridae.